AUGAACGCUGGCGGCGUGCCUAAUACAUGCCAGUCGAGCGAACAGACGAGGAGCUUGCUCCUCUGACGUUAGCGGCGGACGGGUGAGUAACACGUGGAUAACCUACCUAUAAGACUGGGAUAACUUCGGGAAACCGGAGCUAAUACCGGAUAAUAUAUUGAACCGCAUGGUUCAAUAGUGAAAGACGGUUUUGCUGUCACUUAUAGAUGGAUCCGCGCCGCAUUAGCUAGUUGGUAAGGUAACGGCUUACCAAGGCAACGAUGCGUAGCCGACCUGAGAGGGUGAUCGGCCACACUGGAACUGAGACACGGUCCAGACUCCUACGGGAGGCAGCAGUAGGGAAUCUUCCGCAAUGGGCGAAAGCCUGACGGAGCAGCGCCGCGUGAAUGAUGAAGGUCUUCGGAUCGUAAAACUCUGUUAUUAGGGAAGAACAAAUGUGUAAGUAACUAUGCACGUCUUGACGGUACCUAAUCAGAAAGCCACGGCUAACUACGUG
RNAcentral lists this ribosomal RNA (496 nucleotides) under uncultured bacterium. RNAcentral describes it as "partial 16S ribosomal RNA". It matches the Rfam family "Bacterial small subunit ribosomal RNA", at positions 29 to 507 of the family's 1533-position model. The record is from RNAcentral.